Molecule: ribosomal RNA, 253 nt
Filed under: uncultured bacterium
Lineage: Bacteria
Description: partial 16S ribosomal RNA
Rfam family: Bacterial small subunit ribosomal RNA
Source: RNAcentral
UACGUAGGGUGCAAGCGUUGUCCGGAAUUAUUGGGCGUAAAGAGCUCGUAGGCGGUUUGUCGCGUCUGCUGUGAAAACUCGGGGCUUAACUCCGGGCCUGCAGUGGGUACGGGCAGACUACAGUGCGGUAGGGGAGAUUGGAAUUCCUGGUGUAGCGGUGGAAUGCGCAGAUAUCAGGAGGAACACCGAUGGCGAAGGCAGAUCUCUGGGCCGUAACUGACGCUGAGGAGCGAAAGCGUGGGGAGCAAACAGG